Molecule: long non-coding RNA, 1088 nt
Organism: Mesoplodon densirostris (Blainville's beaked whale)
Lineage: Eukaryota; Metazoa; Chordata; Mammalia; Artiodactyla; Ziphiidae
Exons: 3
Source: RefSeq, a predicted model, not a curated record
CUUUGAAUGGGGACAACUGUUUGCUGAAGUGUGAUGUGUGAAGAGGUAGGAGGAAAUGAGCUUGAGCAUCUCAGAAGCUUCAAUUCAGAUGAUGAUUUCUCACAUGUGCAAGAGAGAGAAGGAGAAAGAAAAAGGCAUGAUGAAGAAAUCUGUCGUCGAUUGCAUCAAGUCAUCCUGGGAAAAACAAGAUGACUGCAUAUGUUCACUGGGACAAGAAAAUCAUAAAGCACCAGCACACUUUUUUGAAUUGGCACAUUCUCACUGCACCUGGGUAGUUUAACUGGAAGGAAUUGCAGAGAGCACAGGCUUCGGACGCGCAGGCUCAGUGGACAUGGCUCACGGGCCCAGCCGCUCCACGACACGUGGGAUCUUCCCGGACCGGGGCACGAACCCGCGUCCCCUGCAUCGGCAGGUGGACUCUCAACCACUGCGCCACAAGGGAAGCCCUAUCUCUAGAUUUAAAAGCUGAAAUGUGAAGGUAAAAGCAAGUUAAACUGGACAAGGAAAAUAUUUAACAGGAAAUUCAAGUAAAUACCAAUGAACUUUACUUAUAUUUGGCGUUUUCACUAUUAAAAUAAUGAUAAAUAGCACUGAUAAAAGAAAAACAAAUUCAAACAAUAAGUUACUCCUUUGGUUGUCUACAAAGUAUGUCACAUCUAUGAAAACCUAAUUGUUAAGUAGGACUUUAGCUGUUGAUCGAUACAUGAAAAUAAACACUGGAACAAAUGUGUGUAUCAAAUGAAAAUUAGGCAGUGGCCCUUGACACAAUCUGCUGCUCUUUCCUGGUACCUUGUAUUCCUUCUUAGGGGAAUGUAUGCUGACCAAUUUAGAGGAGGUAAAAUAAAAAGUGUUUUAUGAAAGGAAAAAAGGAAGAAUGGAUGGAAACAUAGAGAGAAGGAAGGAAGGAAGGAAGGAAGGAAAGAAGGAAGGAAGGAAGAAAAGAAAGCAAGCAGGCGGGCACACAGUACAAUCUAAAUGAGAACUAAAGCUUUGGGAUUUUUUGCCCUUUAUCACUUGUUUUGAAGAUGUGGAGAUAGAGCAUCUCAGUGAUUUCUGAACAAGACCCUUAUACCCUUUUAUCCUAAUGA